GAGUUUGAUCGUGGCUCAGAUUGAACGCUGGCGGCAGGCCUAACACAUGCAAGUCGAGCGGUAGAGAGAAGCUUGCUUCUCUCGAGAGCGGCGGACGGGUGAGUAAUGCCUAGGAAUCUGCCUGGUAGUGGGGGAUAACGCUCGGAAACGGACGCUAAUACCGCAUACGUCCUACGGGAGAAAGCAGGGGACCUUCGGGCCUUGCGCUAUCAGAUGAGCCUAGGUCGGAUUAGCUAGUUGGUGAGGUAAUGGCUCACCAAGGCGACGAUCCGUAACUGGUCUGAGAGGAUGAUCAGUCACACUGGAACUGAGACACGGUCCAGACUCCUACGGGAGGCAGCAGUGGGGAAUAUUGGACAAUGGGCGAAAGCCUGAUCCAGCCAUGCCGCGUGUGUGAAGAAGGUCUUCGGAUUGUAAAGCACUUUAAGUUGGGAGGAAGGGCAGUAAAUUAAUACUUUGCUGUUUUGACGUUACCGACAGAAUAAGCACCGGCUAACUCUGUGCCAGCA
Molecule: ribosomal RNA, 509 nt
Filed under: uncultured bacterium
Lineage: Bacteria
Description: bacterial SSU rRNA
Rfam family: Bacterial small subunit ribosomal RNA
Source: RNAcentral